This 495-nucleotide ribosomal RNA is filed under the name uncultured bacterium. Its description in RNAcentral is "partial 16S ribosomal RNA". It matches the Rfam family "Bacterial small subunit ribosomal RNA", at positions 28 to 507 of the family's 1533-position model. The record is from RNAcentral.
GACGAACGCUGGCGGCGUGCCUAAUACAUGCAAGUAGAACGCUGAAGGAGGAGCUUGCUUCUCUGGAUGAGUUGCGAACGGGUGAGUAACGCGUAGGUAACCUGCCUGGUAGCGGGGGAUAACUAUUGGAAACGAUAGCUAAUACCGCAUAAUAGUAGAUGUUGCAUGGCAUUUGCUUAAAAGGUGCAAUUGCAUCACUACCAGAUGGACCUGCGUUGUAUUAGCUAGUUGGUGGGGUAACGGCUCACCAAGGCGACGAUACAUAGCCGACCUGAGAGGGUGAUCGGCCACACUGGGACUGAGACACGGCCCAGACUCCUACGGGAGGCAGCAGUAGGGAAUCUUCGGCAAUGGACGGAAGUCUGACCGAGCAACGCCGCGUGAGUGAAGAAGGUUUUCGGAUCGUAAAGCUCUGUUGUAAGAGAAGAACGAGUGUGAGAGUGGAAAGUUCACACUGUGACGGUAUCUUACCAGAAAGGGACGGCUAACUACGUG